RNAcentral lists this ribosomal RNA (435 nucleotides) under uncultured Flavobacterium sp. RNAcentral's name for it is "bacterial SSU rRNA". It matches the Rfam family "Bacterial small subunit ribosomal RNA", at positions 358 to 790 of the family's 1533-position model. Lineage: Bacteria; Pseudomonadati; Bacteroidota; Flavobacteriia; Flavobacteriales; Flavobacteriaceae. The record is from RNAcentral.
GGAAUAUUGGACAAUGGGCGCAAGCCUGAUCCAGCCAUGCCGCGUGCAGGAUGACGGUCCUAUGGAUUGUAAACUGCUUUUGUACGAGAAGAAACACUCCUAUGUAUAGGAGCUUGACGGUAUCGUAAGAAUAAGGAUCGGCUAACUCCGUGCCAGCAGCCGCGGUAAUACGGAGGAUCCAAGCGUUAUCCGGAAUCAUUGGGUUUAAAGGGUCCGUAGGCGGUUUAAUAAGUCAGUGGUGAAAGCCCAUCGCUCAACGGUGGAACGGCCAUUGAUACUGUUAGACUUGAAUUAUUAGGAAGUAACUAGAAUAUGUAGUGUAGCGGUGAAAUGCUUAGAGAUUACAUGGAAUACCAAUUGCGAAGGCAGGUUACUACUAAUUGAUUGACGCUGAUGGACGAAAGCGUGGGUAGCGAACAGGAUUAGAUACCCUGG